AGCGAACGCUGGCGGCGUGCCUAACACAUGCAAGUCGAACGUGAAAAGGGGCAACCCUGAGUAAAGUGGCGUACGGGUGAGUAACACGUAGGUAAUCUACCCUAAAGUUUGGAAUAACCUGCCGAAAGGCGGGCUAAUACUAGAUAGAGCGACGGAAUCCGUAAUUGGGUUUUUCGGGAAAGGGAGGGAGCAAUCCCCUUCGCUUUAGGAUGAGCCUGCGUCCCAUUAGCUAGUUGGUAAGGUAAUGGCUUACCAAGGCAAGGAUGGGUAGCUGGUCUGAGAGGAUGAUCAGCCACACUGGAACUGAAACACGGUCCAGACUCCUACGGGUGGCUG
Molecule: ribosomal RNA, 336 nt
Filed under: uncultured Pseudomonadota bacterium
Lineage: Bacteria; Pseudomonadati; Pseudomonadota
Description: bacterial SSU rRNA
Rfam family: Bacterial small subunit ribosomal RNA
Source: RNAcentral